UAGUCCACGCCGUAAACGAUGGACACUAGUUGUUGGGAUUUAUCUCAGUGACUAAGCGAAAGUGAUAAGUGUCCCACCUGGGGAGUACGAUCGCAAGAUUGAAACUCAAAGGAAUUGACGGGGGCCCGCGCAAGCGGUGGAGCAUGUGGUUUAAUUCGAUGAUACGCGAGGAACCUUACCAGGGCUUAAAUGUAGAGCGACAGGGCUAGAGAUAGCUUUUUCUUCGGACACUUUACAAGGUGCUGCAUGGUUGUCGUCAGCUCGUGCCGUGAGGUGUCAGGUUAAGUCCUAUAACGAGCGCAACCCCUAUUGUUAGUUGCUAACAGGUAAUGCUGAGGACUCUAGCGAGACUGCCGGUGACAAACCGGAGGAAGGUAAGGAUGACGUCAAGUCAGCAUGCCCCUUAUGCUCUGGGCUACACACGUGCUACAAUGGCCGUGACAAAGAGUUGCUACUUUGUGAAAACAAGCUAAUCUCAUAAACGCGGCCUCAGUUCGGAUCG
RNAcentral lists this ribosomal RNA (502 nucleotides) under uncultured bacterium. RNAcentral's name for it is "bacterial SSU rRNA". It matches the Rfam family "Bacterial small subunit ribosomal RNA", at positions 791 to 1300 of the family's 1533-position model. The record is from RNAcentral.